GAUGAACGCUGGCGGCGUACCUAAUACAUGCAAGUCGAGCGAACAGACGAGGAGCUUGCUCCUCUGACGUUAGCGGCGGACGGGUGAGUAACACGUGGAUAACCUACCUUUAAGACUGGGGUAACUUCGGGAAACCGGAUCUAAUACCGGAUAAUAUAUUGAACCGCAUGGUUCAAUAGUGAAAGACGGUUUUGCUGUCACUUAUAGAUGUAUCCGCGCCGCAUUAGCUAGUUGUUAAGGUAACGGCUUACCAAGGCAACGAUGCGUAGCCGACCUGAGAGGGUGAUCGGCCACACUGGAACUGAGACACGGUCCAGACUCCUACGGGAGGCAGCAGUAGGGAAUCUUCCGCAAUGGGCGAAAGCCUGACGGAGCAACGCCGCGUGAGUGAUGAAGGUCUUCGGAUCGUAAAACUCUGUUAUUAGGGAAGAAAAAAUGUGUAAGUAACUAUGCACGUCUUGACGGUACCUAAUCAGAAAGCCACGGCUAACUACGUG
Molecule: ribosomal RNA, 497 nt
Filed under: uncultured bacterium
Lineage: Bacteria
Description: partial 16S ribosomal RNA
Rfam family: Bacterial small subunit ribosomal RNA
Source: RNAcentral